RNAcentral lists this transfer RNA (73 nucleotides) under Aedes aegypti (yellow fever mosquito). It matches the Rfam family "tRNA". From Rfam's summary of the family: Transfer RNA (tRNA) molecules are approximately 80 nucleotides in length. Their secondary structure includes four short double-helical elements and three loops (D, anti-codon, and T loops). The record is from Rfam by way of RNAcentral. Lineage: Eukaryota; Metazoa; Arthropoda; Insecta; Diptera; Culicidae.
CCUCUCAUGGCGUAGUGGUAACGCGCCCCAACUAGAGAUUGGGGAGUCGUGAGUUCGAUUCUCACUGAAAAGA